UUAGUGAGGCUUUCGGACUGUCUCGUCGGAAUCGGCAACGAUUUUGACAUGAUGGAAAGUUAGUCAAACUUGGUCAUUUAGAGGAAGUAAAAGUCGUAACAAGGUUUCCGUAGGUGAACCUGCGGAAGGAUCAUUAAAAGUAAUAUAUAUUCAUUGGAAUAUACAUUUCAAACCCCUUGUCUAAACUACCUGUUGCUUCCGGCUGUUUGGGCUGUAUGGUUAGCUGUAUAGCCUGGCCGGAAGGUUGACAUAAAAUAUUGUAUUUAGAGUCUUCUGAAUUGUUAAAACAAAAGUUAAAACUUUCAACAACGGAUCUCUUGGUUCUCGCAUCGAUGAAGAACGCAGCGAAAUGCGAUAAGUAGUGUGAAUUGCAGAAUUCAGUGAAUCAUCGAAUCUUUGAACGCACAUUGCGCCUUCCGGUAUUCCGGGAGGCAUGCCUGUCCGAGCGUCAUCAAAAACCACUCAAGUAGUUUUGCUUGGUAGUGAAAGAAGAGUUUGCUUGCGGAUUCCCUUUCGAAAUUCAAUGGCGGAGAGUCUCAUGAUUCCGGCGUAGUAAUAACUUAUUCGCUUGGUCAUUGUAACAAUCCUGCCCCAAAUCCCCAAUUCUAGUGUUUGACCUCGGAUCAGGUAGGGAUACCCGCUGAACUUAAGCAUAUCAAUAAGCGGAGGAAAAGAAACCAACAGGGAUUGCCUUAGUAACUGCGAGUGAAGCGGCAAAAGCUCAAAUUUGAAAUCUGGUACCUUCGGUGCCCGAAUUGUAAUUUGGAGGCAUAUCUUCGGAGCUGGU
RNAcentral lists this ribosomal RNA (787 nucleotides) under uncultured fungus. RNAcentral describes it as "eukaryotic LSU rRNA". The stretch from base 298 to 451 matches the Rfam family "5.8S ribosomal RNA". Lineage: Eukaryota; Fungi. The record is from RNAcentral.